CAUCAGCAUGGGUUUUCAUGUUAUUGGUCGGUCUCCUCUGCUGUUGUCUCAACACACAACGUCAACGCCGACACGGCGGUGAAAGCAGCAGCAACGGCAGCUGUUCUUGUGAUGGUGGAUACCUCGGUGUUUGAUGGCAAUGCUACUGCUGCUGGUUUCCCUAUCUUAAUGAACAAUGUCUGGUUUAUAUACAACUUGUGUCAAUUUUUGGUGAUAAAAUGUUUUCAAAUGGUAUGGUUUAUAGAGUUUUCAUGUAAAUUAUGAAUUCAAUCAAUCUAGAAUUUGUUGAUAUACGGUAUCAAUGGAGGUCAAGAUGGAGGGGACGGUAUUCUGGUACAAAAAAUAGACAAGAAACACCCUCAAAUGAAGUGUCAGAUGUUACUUAAAUUAUAGGUAUUAGGGUCGAAGCCCGGGUCAAAUUCUUAUAUAUAUUUUUAUACCUAUAUAACAGAAUUCUUUUUUGUAAAUUUCAUUUUUCUGUUGUACUUCUCAUGAAUUUCUUUGUUAUGAACUGUUUUCUGC
This 522-nucleotide long non-coding RNA is filed under the name Gossypium barbadense (sea-island cotton). Its description in RNAcentral is "long non-coding RNA (GBAR_LNC001014)". Lineage: Eukaryota; Viridiplantae; Streptophyta; Magnoliopsida; Malvales; Malvaceae. The record is from RNAcentral.